This 128-nucleotide small nuclear RNA is filed under the name Suricata suricatta (meerkat). Its description in RNAcentral is "U5 spliceosomal RNA (ENSSSUG00005001172.1)". It matches the Rfam family "U5 spliceosomal RNA". From Rfam's summary of the family: U5 RNA is a component of both types of known spliceosome. The precise function of this molecule is unknown, though it is known that the 5' loop is required for splice site selection and p220 binding, and that both the 3' stem-loop and the Sm site are important for Sm protein binding and cap methylation. Lineage: Eukaryota; Metazoa; Chordata; Mammalia; Carnivora; Herpestidae. The record is from Rfam by way of RNAcentral.
AUACUCUGGUUUCUCUUCAGAUCACAUAAAUCUUUCGCCUUUUAAUAAGAUUCAGUCAAAGAUUUCAGUAACGUGGUCAUUCUAUUGAAUCCUAAACUGGGGUAAUUUUUGGUAAUUACUCAGUAAUU